RNAcentral lists this ribosomal RNA (3139 nucleotides) under wastewater metagenome. RNAcentral's name for it is "bacterial LSU rRNA". It matches the Rfam family "Bacterial large subunit ribosomal RNA". The record is from RNAcentral.
AGGGCAUCUGGUGGAUGCCUUGGCGUCGAGAGGCGAUGAAGGACGUGGCACGCUGCGAUAAGCUCCGGGGAGAGGCGAGCGCUCUUUGAUCCGGGGAUCUCCGAAUGGGGCAACCCACCGCUUCGUGCGGUAUCCUCAGCUGAAUCCAUAGGCUGGGGAGGCGAACCCGGCGAACUGAAACAUCUCAGUAGCCGGAGGAAAGGACAUCAACCGAGACUCCGUCAGUAGCGGCGAGCGAACGCGGACCAGGCCAGUGGNNUCCUCGAGUAGGGCGGGGCACGUGAAACCCUGUCCGAACAUGGGGGGACCACCCUCCAAGCCUAAGUACUCCUCGACGACCGAUAGUGCACCAGUACCGUGAGGGAAAGGUGAAAAGCACCCCGACAAGGGGGGUGAAACAGACCCUGAAACCGGAUGCCUACAAACAGUCGGAGCCCGACUCUCGACCUUCGGGACGAGAGGGUGGGUGACGGCGUACCUUUUGCAUAAUGGGUCAGCGAGUUCGUGUCGGCAGCGAGCCUAAGCCGCUAGGUGGAGGCGCAGCGAAAGCGAGUCUGAACAGGGCGCUUCAGUUGCCGGGACGAGACCCGAAACCGGGUGAUCUAGCCAUGACCAGGCUGAAGGUGGGGUGACACCCACUGGAGGGCCGAACCCACGCCCGUUGAAAAGGUCGGGGAUGAGUUGUGGCUAGGGGUGAAAGGCCAAGCAAACCCGGAGAUAGCUGGUUCUCCGCGAAAGCUAUUGAGGUAGCGCGUCGCGCGAUCCCCUCGGGGGGUAGAGCACUGGAUGGGCUAGGGGGGAGCGAUCCUUACCAAACCUAACCAAACUCCGAAUACCCGAGCAGGCAGCGCGGCAGACAGGCGGCGGGUGCUAAGGUCCGUCGCCGAGAGGGAAACAGCCCAGACCGCCGGCUAAGGUCCCCAAGUCAUGGCUAAGUGGGAAAGGAUGUGGGAAGGCCACAACAACCAGGAGGUUGGCUUAGAAGCAGCCAUCCUUUAAAGAAAGCGUAACAGCUCACUGGUCUAUCAGCCGUCCUGCGCCGAAGAUGUAACGGGGCUCAAGCCAUGCACCGAAGCCGCGGAUUCCAGAGGUCAGAUGUCAGAUGUCAGAUGUCAGACAGAAAGUCUGACGGAUGACAUGAUGUCUGGAACGAGAAGGAUGUCGAGGUGACGCAGGCGAAGGCGUUCGAGGACCUUUUGGUCUUCAAGCGGGCCUAUCGUCUGUCGUUGGAGAUUCAUCGUGCGAGCCUGACCUUCCCUGCGAUCGAGCAGCGUGCCCUGGCGGAUCAGAUCCGCCGGGCGAGCAAGUCGGUCUGCGCCAACCUGGCAGAGGGGUUCGGUCGGCAGCAUGCGUCGAGAGCCGAGUUCCGCCGCUUCGUCGUGAUGGCGAUGGGCUCGGCCGACGAGACGCGGCUGUGGCUGCGUUAUUGUCUCGACCUCGGCUAUGUCGAGGAAGGGCAAUGGCGCAGCUGGCGCGACGAAUGCCAGGAAGUGGCGAGGAUGCUGCAGGGGCUGCACCGGUCCCUUCGGGCAUCUUCUGAUCUCUGACAUCUGACAUCUGGCCUCUGGAGUGGUAGCGGAGCGUUCCGUAGGCCGGUGAAGGUCGGGCGUGAGCCCGGCUGGAGGCAUCGGAAGUGCGAAUGCUGACAUGAGUAACGAAAAGGCGUGUGAGAGACACGCCCGCCGGAAGUCCAAGGGUUCCUGCGCAAGGCUAAUCCGCGCAGGGUGAGCCGGCCCCUAAGCCGAGGGCGACAGCCGUAGGCGAUGGGAACCAGGUCAAGAUUCCUGGGCCUGGAGGUGGUGACGGCGAUCGUGUGUCGUUCUCCCUUAUCGGAUUGGGAGGGCGUCGAAGAUCGUCCAGGAAACAGCCCCUCCGUACAGACCGUACCCGAAACCGACACAGGUGGACUGGUUGAGCAUACCCAGGCGCUUGAGAGAACGACGUCGAAGGAACUAGGCAAAUUGCCCUCGUAACUUCGGGAGAAGAGGGCCUCCUUGGCGGGCAACCGUCGGGGAGGGGCACAAGCCAGGGGGUGGCGACUGUUUACUAAAAACACAGGGCUCUGCGAACUCGCGAGAGGACGUAUAGGGUCUGACGCCUGCCCGGUGCCGGAAGGUUAAGGGGAGUGGUGAGAGCUACGAACCGAAGCCCCGGUAAACGGCGGCCGUAACUAUAACGGUCCUAAGGUAGCGAAAUUCCUUGUCGGGUAAGUUCCGACCUGCACGAAUGGCGUAACGACUUCCCCACUGUCUCCGACGUCGGCUCAGUGAAAUUGAAUUCCCCGUGAAGAUGCGGGGUACCCGCGGUCAGACGGAAAGACCCCGUGCACCUUUACUGCAACUUUGCACUGGUACUAGGCCUGACAUGUGUAGGAUAGGUGGGAGCCGUUGAAGCCAGGGCGCCAGCUCUGGUGGAGGCGACGUUGAAAUACCACCCUUGUCGCGUCUGGUAUCUAACCGCGGCCCGUGAUCCGGGUCCGGGACCCUGCAUGGUGGGCAGUUUGACUGGGGCGGUCGCCUCCCAAAGAGUAACGGAGGCGCGCGAUGGUCGGCUCAGGCUGGUCGGAAACCAGCCGUCGCGUGCAAGCGCACAAGCCGGCCUGACUGCAAGAACGACGGUUCGCGCAGAGACGAAAGUCGGCGCUAGUGAUCCGGUGGUCCCGCGUGGAAGGGCCAUCGCUCAACGGAUAAAAGGUACGCCGGGGAUAACAGGCUGAUAACCCCCAAGAGUCCCCAUCGACGGGGUUGUUUGGCACCUCGAUGUCGGCUCAUCACAUCCUGGGGCUGAAGCAGGUCCCAAGGGUUCGGCUGUUCGCCGAUUAAAGUGGUACGUGAGCUGGGUUUAGAACGUCGUGAGACAGUUCGGUCCCUAUCUGCCGUGGGUGUUCGAGACUUGAGAGGAUCUGCCCUUAGUACGAGAGGACCGGGGUGGACGUACCUCUGGUGGACCGGUCGUGGCGCCAGCCGCGCAGCCGGGUAGCUAAGUACGGACGGGAUAACCGCUGAAGGCAUCUAAGCGGGAAACCCCCCUCGAAACCAGGUCUCGCCGAGAGCCGUGGAAGACCACCACGUCGAUAGGCCGGGAGUGGAAGCGUGGCGACACGCGCAGCUUACCGGUCCUAAUCGCUCGAUCGAGCUUC